RNAcentral lists this small RNA (148 nucleotides) under Pongo abelii (Sumatran orangutan). RNAcentral's name for it is "Metazoan signal recognition particle RNA (ENSPPYG00000031115.1)". It matches the Rfam family "Metazoan signal recognition particle RNA". Rfam says of the family: The signal recognition particle (SRP) is a universally conserved ribonucleoprotein. It is involved in the co-translational targeting of proteins to membranes. Lineage: Eukaryota; Metazoa; Chordata; Mammalia; Primates; Hominidae. The record is from Rfam by way of RNAcentral.
GCCGGGCGUGGUGGCGCACGCCUGUAAUCCCAGCUACUCGGGAGGCUGAGGCAGGAGAAUCGUUUGAACCCGGGAGGCAGAGGUUGCAGUGAGCCGAGAUCCCGCCACUGCACUCCAGCCUGGGCGACAGAGUGAGACUCUGUCUCAA